GAACCUACGGGGGGCAGCAGUGGGGGAUAUUGCACAAUGGGGGGAACCCUGAUGCAGCGACGCCGCGUGAGCGAUGGAGUACUUCGGUAUGUAAAGCUCUGUCAGCAGGGAAGAAAAUGACGGUACCUGACCAAGAAGCCCCGGCUAAAUACGUGCCAGCAGCCGCGGUAAUACGUAUGGGGCAAGCGUUAUCCGGAUUUACUGGGUGUAAAGGGAGCGUAGGCGGCAGGGCAAGCCUGAUGUGAAAGCCCGGGGCCCAACCCCGGGACUGCAUUGGGAACGGCCCUGCUGGAGUGCCGGAGGGG
RNAcentral lists this ribosomal RNA (305 nucleotides) under uncultured bacterium. RNAcentral's name for it is "bacterial SSU rRNA". It matches the Rfam family "Bacterial small subunit ribosomal RNA", at positions 333 to 657 of the family's 1533-position model. The record is from RNAcentral.